RNAcentral lists this ribosomal RNA (503 nucleotides) under uncultured bacterium. Its description in RNAcentral is "partial 16S ribosomal RNA". It matches the Rfam family "Bacterial small subunit ribosomal RNA", at positions 30 to 523 of the family's 1533-position model. The record is from RNAcentral.
AUUGAACGCUGGCGGCAGGCCUAACACAUGCAAGUCGAACGGUAGCACAGAGAGCUUGCUCUCGGGUGACGAGUGGCGGACGGGUGAGUAACGUCUGGGAAACUGCCCGAUGGAGGGGGAUAACUACUGGAAACGGUAGCUAAUACCGCAUAACGUCGCAAGACCAAAGCGGGGGACCUUCGGGCCUCACACCAUCGGAUGUGCCCAGAUGGGAUUAGCUAGUAGGUGGGGUAAUGGCUCACCUAGGCGACGAUCCCUAGCUGGUCUGAGAGGAUGACCAGCCACACUGGAACUGAGACACGGUCCAGACUCCUACGGGAGGCAGCAGUGGGGAAUAUUGCACAAUGGCGCAAGCCUGAUGCAGCCAUGCCGCGUGUAUGAAGAAGGCCUUCGGGUUGUAAAGUACUUUCAGCGGGGAGGAAGGCGGUGAAGUUAAUAACUUCACCGAUUGACGUUACCCGCAGAAGAAGCACCGGCUAACUCCGUGCCAGCCGCCGCCGUAA